UACGAAGGGUGCAAACGUUGCUCGGAAUCAUUGGGCGUAAAGCGCACGUAGGCGGCCCAUCAAGUCGGACGUGAAAUCCCUCAGCUCAACUGAGGACGUGCAUCCGAAGCUGAUGGGCUUGAGUACUGAAGAGGAUCGCGGAAUUCCCGGUGUAGAGGUGAAAUUCGUAGAUAUCGGGAGGAACACCAGUGGCGAAGGCGGCGAUCUGGGCAGAUACUGACGCUGAGGUGCGAAAGCGUGGGGAGCAAACAGG
RNAcentral lists this ribosomal RNA (253 nucleotides) under uncultured bacterium. Its description in RNAcentral is "partial 16S ribosomal RNA". It matches the Rfam family "Bacterial small subunit ribosomal RNA", at positions 524 to 776 of the family's 1533-position model. The record is from RNAcentral.